RNAcentral lists this ribosomal RNA (457 nucleotides) under uncultured bacterium. RNAcentral describes it as "bacterial SSU rRNA". It matches the Rfam family "Bacterial small subunit ribosomal RNA", at positions 329 to 803 of the family's 1533-position model. The record is from RNAcentral.
UUUAAGCUUCCUACGGGAGGCUGCAGUGGGGAAUAUUGGACAAUGGGCGAAAGCCUGAUCCAGCAAUGCCGCGUGAGUGAUGAAGGCCUUAGGGUUGUAAAGCUCUUUUACCCGAGAUGAUAAUGACAGUAUCGGGAGAAUAAGCUCCGGCUAACUCCGUGCCAGCAGCCGCGGUAAUACGGAGGGAGCUAGCGUUGUUCGGAAUUACUGGGCGUAAAGCGCACGUAGGCGGCUUUUUAAGUCAGGGGUGAAAUCCCGGGGCUCAACCCCGGAACUGCCCUUGAAACUGGGAAGCUAGAAUCUUGGAGAGGCGAGUGGAAUUCCGAGUGUAGAGGUGAAAUUCGUAGAUAUUCGGAAGAACACCAGUGGCGAAGGCGACUCGCUGGACAAGUAUUGACGCUGAGGUGCGAAAGCGUGGGGAGCAAACAGGAUUAGAUACCCUUGUAGUCGAAUUCUU